ACAUGGGUACCGGGGGUCCUCUAGAGAUUAGAGUUUGAUCCAUGGCUCAGGAUGAACGCUAGCGGCAGGCUUAACACAUGCAAGUCGAGAGGCAGCACGGGUAGCAAUACUUGGUGGCGACCGGCGCAAGGGUGCGUAACGCGUGAGCAACAUGCCCGUAUCAGGGGGAUAAUCCAUGGAAACGUAGUCUAAUACCCCAUAGUAAGUUUUUGGGGCAUCUCAAAGAUUUUAAAGCUUUGGUGGAUACGGAUUGGCUCGCGUGACAUUAGCUAGAUGGUAAGGUAACGGCUUACCAUGGCUACGAUGUCUAGGGGUUCUGAGAGGAAGGUCCCCCACACUGGAACUGAGACACGGUCCAGACUCCUACGGGAGGCAGCAGUGAGGAAUAUUGGACAAUGGAUGGAAAUCUGAUCCAGCCAUGCCGCGUGCAGGAAGACGGCCCUAUGGGUUGUAAACUGCUUUUGUAUGGGAGCAAUAAGGGCUACGUGUAGUCCGAUGAGAGUACCAUACGAAUAAGCACCGGCUAAUUCCGUGCCAGCAGCCGCGGUAAUACGGAGGGUGCAAGCGUUAUCCGGAUUUAUUGGGUUUAAAGGGUGCGUAGGCGGUUUGAUAAGUCAGCGGUGAAAUAUUUCAGCUUAACUGGAAGGGUGCCGUUGAUACUGUCGAGCUUGAAUUUAGUUGCUGUGGGUGGAAUGUGUGGUGUAGCGGUGAAAUGCAUAGAUAUCACACAGAAUAUCGAUUGCGAAGGCAGCUCACAAAGCUAAUAUUGACGCUGAUGCACGAAAGUGUGGGGAUCAAACAGGAUUAGAUACCCUGGUAGUCCACACUGUAAACGAUGAUAACUCGCUGUCGGCGAUACACCGUCGGUGGCCAAGCGAAAGCGAUAAGUUAUCCACCUGGGGAGUACGACCGCAAGGUUGAAACUCAAAGGAAUUGACGGGGGCCCGCACAAGCGGAGGAACAUGUGGUUUAAUUCGAUGAUACGCGAGGAACCUUACCCGGGCUCGAACGGUGCAUGAUAGAUCAGAGAUGGUUUAGUCCUUCGGGACAUGUAUCGAGGUGCUGCAUGGUUGUCGUCAGCUCGUGCCGUG
RNAcentral lists this ribosomal RNA (1091 nucleotides) under uncultured Bacteroidales bacterium. RNAcentral describes it as "bacterial SSU rRNA". It matches the Rfam family "Bacterial small subunit ribosomal RNA", at positions 1 to 1069 of the family's 1533-position model. The record is from RNAcentral. Lineage: Bacteria; Pseudomonadati; Bacteroidota; Bacteroidia; Bacteroidales.